Molecule: transfer RNA, 85 nt
Filed under: bacterium
Lineage: Bacteria
Also listed under: 1 other name
Description: tRNA-Leu
Rfam family: tRNA
About the family: Transfer RNA (tRNA) molecules are approximately 80 nucleotides in length.
Source: RNAcentral
GUCCGAGUGGCGAAAUGGCAGACGCACGGGACUUAAAAUCCCGAGACUCGAAAGGGUCGUGUGGGUUCGAGUCCCACCUUGGACA